This 253-nucleotide ribosomal RNA is filed under the name uncultured bacterium. RNAcentral describes it as "partial 16S ribosomal RNA". It matches the Rfam family "Bacterial small subunit ribosomal RNA", at positions 524 to 776 of the family's 1533-position model. The record is from RNAcentral.
UACGAAGGGGGCUAGCGUUGUUCGGAAUUACUGGGCGUAAAGCGCACGCAGGAGGAUUUAUAAGUCAGGGGUGAAAUCCCGGGGCUCAACCUCGGAAUUGCCUUUGAUACUGCCUAUCUUGAGUCCGGGAGGGGUGAGUGGAAUUCCUAGUGUAGAGGUGAAAUUCGUAGAUAUUAGGAAGAACACCAGUGGCGAAGGCGGCUCACUGGCCCGGUACUGACGCUCAUGUGCGAAAGCGUGUGGAGCAAACAGG